Stegodyphus dumicola is the source of this 455-nucleotide long non-coding RNA. The record is from RefSeq and is a predicted model, not a curated record. NCBI's taxonomy places the organism in Eukaryota, Metazoa, Arthropoda, Arachnida, Araneae, Eresidae.
AUGUAAUGUAAAUAUCGGCAAAGCACGUGGGUAGAUAGAUACUCGUCAGACGAAAUCUACAGUACACGAAACUUCAGGAUUUAGCUCUCUGGUUUUAUUUUAAAUUAAAGACCAAUAUCGUAAUAAGAACUUUUUUCUUUAAUGUAGUUUGGGGUAAACAUGUCUUCUCCACGCGUAAGGCGUAGAGGUAUACAAAGAUUAUAUUCAGCUGAAGAUGAAGUUCUGGAUAAAGUUGUUCAAGAGAUGCAGUCGGAUAAUUUGGCCACGCUUAGGAUGACAAGAGCCAAACUUUGCUUUUUGUGAAUUGCAAAACUGGUGAAUACUAGAAUUCUGGGUAGCUGCAUACCGAUGCAGAUUCCUUUCCUGAAUCCCAGCUCUUGAACAUAUGAGUCUAAGUAUUGAUUAAAAUAAUUUUUCCAAACAAUUGUUUUCCUAAUAAAGACUGAAGGUUGGUC